Molecule: ribosomal RNA, 717 nt
Filed under: Alcaligenaceae bacterium
Lineage: Bacteria; Pseudomonadati; Pseudomonadota; Betaproteobacteria; Burkholderiales; Alcaligenaceae
Description: bacterial SSU rRNA
Rfam family: Bacterial small subunit ribosomal RNA
Source: RNAcentral
GAUUGAACGCUAGCGGGAUGCUUUACACAUGCAAGUCGAACGGCAGCGCGGACUUCGGUCUGGCGGCGAGUGGCGAACGGGUGAGUAAUGUAUCGGAACGUACCCAGUAGCGGGGGAUAACUACUCGAAAGAGUGGCUAAUACCGCAUACGCCCUACGGGGGAAAGGGGGGGAUCGCAAGACCUCUCACUAUUGGAGCGGCCGAUAUCGGAUUAGCUAGUUGGUGGGGUAAAGGCCUACCAAGGCAACGAUCCGUAGCUGGUUUGAGAGGACGACCAGCCACACUGGGACUGAGACACGGCCCAGACUCCUACGGGAGGCAGCAGUGGGGAAUUUUGGACAAUGGGGGCAACCCUGAUCCAGCCAUCCCGCGUGUGCGACGAAGGCCUUCGGGUUGUAAAGCACUUUUGGCAGGAAAGAAAUCGCCCGGGCUAACACUCCGGGUGGAUGACGGUACCUGCAGAAUAAGCACCGGCUAACUACGUGCCAGCAGCCGCGGUAAUACGUAGGGUGCAAGCGUUAAUCGGAAUUACUGGGCGUAAAGCGUGCGCAGGCGGUUCGGAAAGAAAGAUGUGAAAUCCCAGGGCUUAACCUUGGAACUGCAUUUUUAACUACCGGGCUAGAGUGCGUCAGAGGGGGGUGGAAUUCCGCGUGUAGCAGUGAAAUGCGUAGAUAUGCGGAGGAACACCGAUGGCGAAGGCAGCCCCCUGGGAUGACA